ACUCCUACGGGAGGCAGCAGUGGGGAAUAUUGCACAAUGGGCGCAAGCCUGAUGCAGCCAUGCCGCGUGUGUGAAGAAGGCCUUCGGGUUGUAAAGCACUUUCAGUCGUGAGGAAGGUAGUGUAGUUAAUAGCUGCAUUAUUUGACGUUAGCGACAGAAGAAGCACCGGCUAACUCCGUGCCAGCAGCCGCGGUAAUACGGAGGGGUGCGAGCGUUAAUCGGAAUUACUGGGCGUAAAGCGCAUGCAGGUGGUUUGUUAAGUCAGAUGUGAAAGCCCGGGGCUCAACCUCGGAAUUGCAUUUGAAACUGGCAGACUAGAGUACUGUAGAGGGGGUAGAAUUUCAGGUGUAGCGGUGAAAUGCGUAGAGAUCUGAAGGAAUACCGGUGGCGAAGGCGGCCCCCUGGACAGAUACUGACACUCAGAUGCGAAAGCGUGGGGAGGCAAACAGGAUUAGAU
Molecule: ribosomal RNA, 457 nt
Filed under: uncultured bacterium
Lineage: Bacteria
Description: bacterial SSU rRNA
Rfam family: Bacterial small subunit ribosomal RNA
Source: RNAcentral